UCUACUGCUCUCCAUUUCACAUUAUUUCGUUAUUGUUAUUGUUCUCAUUGGAGCUGAGGGUCCUCCGAAAGUAGCCUCUCUACCUCCACGAGGUAGGGUUAAGGUUUGCGUACACUCUACCCUCUCCAUACCUCACUCGUGGGAUUUCACUAGGUAUGUUGUUGUCGUUAUUACUAUUUUCAUCUCUAUAGUUUUUUUUUUUUUUUUGAAAUUGCUUAUUUUAAGCUGAGGGUCUAUCAAAAACAACUUCUUUAUCUUUACGAGGUAGGGGUAAGGAUUGCGUACACUCUACCCUCUCCAUACCUCACUCGUGGGAUUUCACUAGGUAUGUCGUUGUCGUUAUUACUAUUUUCAUCUCUAUAGUUUUUUUUUUUUUUUUUUUUUUUUUUUUUUUUUG
This 397-nucleotide long non-coding RNA is filed under the name Solanum tuberosum (potato). RNAcentral's name for it is "long non-coding RNA (STUB_LNC008711)". The record is from RNAcentral. Lineage: Eukaryota; Viridiplantae; Streptophyta; Magnoliopsida; Solanales; Solanaceae.